GCCAGUGUGAUGUAGUGGUUUAGAAUUUAGGAUUAUGAAUCUGGAGACCAGGGUUUGAAUCCCUACUCAGCCA
Molecule: non-coding RNA, 73 nt
Organism: Phrynosoma platyrhinos (Desert horned lizard)
Lineage: Eukaryota; Metazoa; Chordata; Lepidosauria; Squamata; Phrynosomatidae
Source: the annotation of a GenBank genome assembly